AUUGAACGCUGGCGGCAGGCCUAACACAUGCAAGUCGUGCGGAUGAAGGGAGCUUGCUCCUGGAUUCAGCGGCGGACGGGUGAGUAAUGCCUAGGAAUCUGCCUGGUAGUGGGGGAUAACGUCCGGAAACGGGCGCUAAUACCGCAUACGUCCUGAGGGAGAAAGUGGGGGAUCUUCGGACCUCACGCUAUCAGAUGAGCCUAGGUCGGAUUAGCUAGUUGGCGGGGUAAAGGCCUACCAAGGCGACGAUCCGUAACUGGUCUGAGAGGAUGAUCAGUCACACUGGAACUGAGACACGGUCCAGACUCCUACGGGAGGCAGCAGUGGGGAAUAUUGGACAAUGGGCGAAAGCCUGAUCCAGCCAUGCCGCGUGUGUGAAGAAGGUCUUCGGAUUGUAAAGCACUUUAAGUUGGGAGGAAGGGCAGUAAGUUAAUACCUUGCUGUUUUGACGUUACCAACAGAAUAAGCACCGGCUAACUUCGUG
This 484-nucleotide ribosomal RNA is filed under the name uncultured bacterium. Its description in RNAcentral is "partial 16S ribosomal RNA". It matches the Rfam family "Bacterial small subunit ribosomal RNA", at positions 30 to 507 of the family's 1533-position model. The record is from RNAcentral.